This 467-nucleotide ribosomal RNA is filed under the name uncultured bacterium. Its description in RNAcentral is "partial 16S ribosomal RNA". It matches the Rfam family "Bacterial small subunit ribosomal RNA", at positions 28 to 507 of the family's 1533-position model. The record is from RNAcentral.
GACGAACGCUGGCGGCGUGCUUAACACAUGCAAGUCGAACGGAAAGGCCUCUUUCGGGGGGUACUCGAGUGGCGAACGGGUGAGUAACACGUGAGUGACCUGCCCUUGACUUUGGGAUAACUUCAGAAAACAGGGGCUAAUACCGGAUAGGAGCUCCUGCUGCGUGGUGGGGGUUGGAGAGUUUCGGCGGUUGGGGAUGGACUCGCGGCGUAUCAGCUUGUUGGUGGGGGGGUGGCUUACCAAGGCUUUGACGGGUAGCCGGCCUGGGAGGGUGACCGGCCACAUUGGGGCUGGGAUUCGGCCCCGACUCCUACGGGGGGCAGCAGUGGGGAAUAUUGCACCAUGGGUGGGAGCCUGAUGCAGCAACGCCGUCGGCGGGAUGACGGCCUUCGGGUUGUAAACCGCUUUCGCUCAUGACGAAGCUUUGUGUGACGGUAGUGGGUAAAGAAGCACCGGCUAACUACGUG